RNAcentral lists this ribosomal RNA (505 nucleotides) under uncultured bacterium. RNAcentral describes it as "partial 16S ribosomal RNA". It matches the Rfam family "Bacterial small subunit ribosomal RNA", at positions 28 to 507 of the family's 1533-position model. The record is from RNAcentral.
GACGAACGCUGGCGGCGUGCCUAAUACAUGCAAGUAGAACGCACAGUUUAUACCGUAGCUUGCUACACCAUAGACUGUGAGUUGCGAACGGGUGAGUAACGCGUAGGUAACCUGCCUGGUAGCGGGGGAUAACUAUUGGAAACGAUAGCUAAUACCGCAUAAUAUUAAUUAUUGCAUGAUAAUUAAUUGAAAGGUGCAAUUGCACCACUACCAGAUGGACCUGCGUUGUAUUAGCUAGUAGGUGAGGUAACGGCUCACCUAGGCGACGAUACAUAGCCGACCUGAGAGGGUGAUCGGCCACACUGGGACUGAGACACGGCCCAGACUCCUACGGGAGGCAGCAGUAGGGAAUCUUCGGCAAUGGACGAAAGUCUGACCGAGCAACGCCGCGUGAGUGAAGAAGGUUUUCGGACCGUAAAGCUCUGUUGUAAGAGAAGAACGGGUGUGAGAGUGGAAAGUUCACACUGUGACGGUAUCUUACCAGAAAGGGACGGCUAACUACGUG